This 1163-nucleotide long non-coding RNA is filed under the name Manihot esculenta (cassava). RNAcentral's name for it is "long non-coding RNA (MESC_LNC004005)". The record is from RNAcentral. Lineage: Eukaryota; Viridiplantae; Streptophyta; Magnoliopsida; Malpighiales; Euphorbiaceae.
CUUCCUGUACCCUGCUGAGUUCUCUCUGACCUCUGAACCUGCACAACUAAAGUUAGGGGAGAGGGAUGAGCUACGAUAGCCCAGUGAGUAGAAUAGGUCAAUAACAGGUGAUAAAACAUGCUCUCAUGGAAUGCAACACAGAAUCACAUCACCUCGGCCGGACGGAUCAAAACUCCCUCUAUCUCAUCUGGGGUACCUAAGUACCAUGUGCCUGGUCCCCGUAGGGCUGUUCCAGGUCUUUCUGUGUGUGCCUGGUCCCCGUAGGGCUGUUCCAGGUCUUUCCUCUGAGGGCUAAUGAAUCCUCACGAAGUCCGUGCCGUCUCACAUAAGCAAUGUACAAGGAGCAAUGCCAAGUACAAGGAUAAAUGCAAUGCAUCAUCUUGGUGUACACUAAUGCACUCACCCUAUAGCAUAUUCAUGAUGCAUGAAGCAUGGGAAAAUAGCAGUUAUCAUAUUAAAACAUGAAGUUAAAUUCCACUCACCUGUAGUUCUCUCUGAACUGACUCUGCAGGUUCUGACUCUGGACUCACUGCUGAUGUCCCUGAUUCCUCUGGUCCGUACCUACACAGGUGGACUCAAAUGAGGGACUAAACUCACUCAAGAACAUCUCUAAGAAACUCCCCAAAACCCCUCUAAACAAUCCUCAAACCAUCACAUAAAACAUGGAAAAGGAAGCUGGACAGGGCACUUUCGGCGGCAGGUUCGGCGGCCGAAACCCCACUCCAGAGACGAAACUCAUGCAUGUUCGGCGGCACCUUCGGCGGCCGAAGGUCUCGUCCAGAGACGAAACUCACACACUUUCGGCGGCCGAACUCCCUCUUUCGGCGGCCGAAAGUCCCUUUCUAAACCGAAAGCCUAGCUUUCGGGGACAACCUUUGGCAGCCGAACUGCCUCCACAAAGGGUUCGGCGGCCGAACCUUCCUUCGGCGGCCGAACCUGGUUUUGCCCGAAGGGCAGAACCCUGCUCUGUUUCAUGCAAACUUUGCCCAAAAACUACAAACAUGCAUCUCAACUACUCCCAACUAGCAUAUACACAUAUAUAUGCACAAAGGGGUCUAAAACUAUCCUAAAACCCCAAACAAACAUAGCACAUAACACUUAAUCAUGCUAGAACACCACAAAUCACCAAAAACCUCACCUAAACCUAAACAUGCUUACUACCC